RNAcentral lists this ribosomal RNA (465 nucleotides) under uncultured bacterium. RNAcentral describes it as "bacterial SSU rRNA". It matches the Rfam family "Bacterial small subunit ribosomal RNA", at positions 331 to 793 of the family's 1533-position model. The record is from RNAcentral.
CCAGACUCCUACGGGAGGCAGCAGUGAGGAAUAUUGGUCAAUGGGCGGAAGCCUGAACCAGCCAAGUCGCGUGAAGGAUGACGGCCCUACGGGUUGUAAACUUCUUUUGUCAGGGAGCAAUUGAGUCCACGUGUGGGCUUAGCGAGAGUACCUGAAGAAAAAGCAUCGGCUAACUCCGUGCCAGCAGCCGCGGUAAUACGGAGGAUGCGAGCGUUAUCCGGAUUUAUUGGGUUUAAAGGGUGCGUAGGCGGGCUUUUAAGUCAGCGGUAAAAAUUCGGGGCUCAACCCCGUCCGGCCGUUGAAACUGGGGGCCUUGAGUGGGCGAGAAGUAUGCGGAAUGCGUGGUGUAGCGGUGAAAUGCAUAGAUAUCACGCAGAACUCCGAUUGCGAAGGCAGCAUACCGGCGCCCUACUGACGCUGAGGCACGAAAGCGUGGGUAUCGAACAGGAUUAGAUACCCGCGUAA